UACGUAGGGUGCGAGCGUUGUCCGGAAUUAUUGGGCGUAAAGGGCUCGUAGGCGGUCUGUCACGUCGGGAGUGAAAACUCAGGGCUUAACCCUGAGCCUGCUUCCGAUACGGGCAGACUAGAGGUAUGCAGGGGAGAAUGGAAUUCCUGGUGUAGCGGUGAAAUGCGCAGAUAUCAGGAGGAACACCGGUGGCGAAGGCGGGACUCUGGGCCGAUACUGACGCUGAGGAGCGAAAGCGUGGGGAGCAAACAGG
Molecule: ribosomal RNA, 253 nt
Filed under: uncultured bacterium
Lineage: Bacteria
Description: partial 16S ribosomal RNA
Rfam family: Bacterial small subunit ribosomal RNA
Source: RNAcentral